GGGGAGACCUGAUCAGGGGGGACGAGGUGAACGGGUGGGGUCCCAGGAGCUUGGUUCUGCCCCCGUCUCACCUUGGCAGCGGCUGUGACCGCGGCAUUGGCGGCCAGGUUCAGGCCCCUCUUGCCCACCCUCAUCAUGGUCUCAUAGCUCUUGUCUCGGGCCUGGGUGAUGUACUCGUC
This is a long non-coding RNA of Pipistrellus kuhlii (Kuhl's pipistrelle), 179 nucleotides long. RefSeq lists it as uncharacterized. The record is from RefSeq and is a predicted model, not a curated record. NCBI's taxonomy places the organism in Eukaryota, Metazoa, Chordata, Mammalia, Chiroptera, Vespertilionidae. The transcript has 3 exons.